CUUUGGCAAAGUACAUAUAUGUAUUUACCCCAUAU
This 35-nucleotide transfer RNA is filed under the name Gobiodon histrio (broad-barred goby). RNAcentral describes it as "partial tRNA-Pro". The record is from RNAcentral. Lineage: Eukaryota; Metazoa; Chordata; Actinopteri; Gobiiformes; Gobiidae.